AGCAGCCGCGGUAAUUCCAGCUCCAAUAGCGUAUAUUAAAGUUGUUGCAGUUAAAAAGCUCGUAGUUGAAUUUCGAGAUCAAAUUGUUGGUCGUGCCUCGGUACGUACUGGUAAUUUUGGUUUCUCCCUUCUGAAGAACCAUGAUGUCAUUAAUUUGGUGUCUUGGGGAAUCAGGACUGUUACUUUGAAAAAAUUAGAGUGUUUAAAGCAAGCUCGCGCUUGAAUACAUUAGCAUGGAAUAAUGAAAUAGGACGUUUGAUUCUAUUUUGUUGGUUUCUAGGAUCGACGUAAUGAUUAAUAGGGAUAGUUGGGGGCAUUAGUAUUCAAUUGUCAGAGGUGAAAUUCUUGGAUUUAUUGAAGACUAACUACUGCGAAAGCAUUUGCCAAGGAUGUUUUCAUUAAUCAAGAACGAAAGUUAGGGAUCGAAGACGAUCAGAUACCGUCGUAGUCUUAACCAUAAACUAUGCCGACUAGGGAUCGGAUGAUGUUAAUUUUUAAUGACUCAUUCGGCGCCUUACGG
This 520-nucleotide ribosomal RNA is filed under the name uncultured Glomeraceae. RNAcentral's name for it is "SSU rRNA". It matches the Rfam family "Eukaryotic small subunit ribosomal RNA", at positions 569 to 1093 of the family's 1831-position model. Lineage: Eukaryota; Fungi; Glomeromycota; Glomeromycetes; Glomerales; Glomeraceae. The record is from RNAcentral.